RNAcentral lists this ribosomal RNA (404 nucleotides) under uncultured bacterium. RNAcentral's name for it is "bacterial SSU rRNA". It matches the Rfam family "Bacterial small subunit ribosomal RNA", at positions 29 to 417 of the family's 1533-position model. The record is from RNAcentral.
AACGAACGCUGGCGGCGUGCCUAACACAUGCAAGUCGUGCGAGAAAGUUCCUUCGGGAGCGAGUAAAGCGGCGCACGGGUGAGUAACACGUAGGUAACCUGCCCCCCAGUCUGGAACAACUAGAGGAAACUCUAGCUAAUGCCGGAUGAGACCACGAUCCCUUCGGGGGUUGCGGCCAAAGAUGGCCUCUACUUGUAAGCUAUCGCUGAGGGAUGGGCCUGCGGGCCAUUAGCUUGUUGGUGAGGUAACGGCUCACCAAGGCUGUGAUGGCUAGCUGGUCUGAGAGGAUGACCAGCCACACUGGGACUGAGACACGGCCCAGACUCCUACGGGAGCAGCAGUGGGGAAUAUUGCGCAAUGGGCGAAAGCCUGACGCAGCGACGCCGCGUGGGUGAUGAAGGCCU